RNAcentral lists this non-coding RNA (184 nucleotides) under Pseudoxanthomonas spadix. RNAcentral describes it as "6S RNA". It matches the Rfam family "6S / SsrS RNA". From Rfam's summary of the family: E. coli 6S RNA was the first non coding RNA to be sequenced, but its function was unknown until recently. It consists of 184 nucleotides that fold into an extended hairpin structure with a large single-stranded internal bulge. RNAcentral also lists the same sequence under 1 other name. Lineage: Bacteria; Pseudomonadati; Pseudomonadota; Gammaproteobacteria; Lysobacterales; Lysobacteraceae. The record is from RNAcentral.
CAUCCUCUGCUGUGUGCGACAGCGUCAAAACAUUCGCCUUGUCCCUUAAUGACGACUACGGGGCAUCAACGGAAGCCGGGAGCGCAAGUCCGCCUCGCAGCGGGAAGCCCGAUGGCCCCCAAGGUGUCCCACUUGAACCCCGGGUUCAAGGUCGUUUCGAAGCAUCGCCAUUGGCGGAGGAUGU